GCUGGGCAGUGGCGGCGCACGCCUUUAAUCCCAGCACAUGGGAAGGCAGAGGCUGGCGGAUUUCUGAGUUCGAGGCCAGCCUGGUCUACAGAGUGAGUUCUAGGACAGCCAGGGCUACACAGAGAAACCCUGUCUUGGGGGAAAAAAAAAGAAAGAAAGAAUAUAAGAAAAUAGGCAACUAAGAUGAACAUGAUUUUUGAGGCAGUUCCAGGAGAGGUAUUGAGUUCUGUAAAGCCCUUCAGAACAGGCAGAGCUAAAUAGAGAAACCCUGUCUUUAAAAAAACAAAAGCAAAAACAAAAAACCAUAAUAGGUGA
Molecule: long non-coding RNA, 315 nt
Filed under: Mus pahari (shrew mouse)
Lineage: Eukaryota; Metazoa; Chordata; Mammalia; Rodentia; Muridae
Description: lncRNA (MGP_PahariEiJ_G0032866.1)
Source: RNAcentral